GAAAGGAUGGUUUGACCGGCUGCAAGAAGAGGCGAGAAAAGAUAUUUCAUAAACCUUUAAAACAGUUUCAGUUUUUUUUUU
RNAcentral lists this non-coding RNA (81 nucleotides) under Mucochytrium quahogii. The record is from RNAcentral. Lineage: Eukaryota; Bigyra; Thraustochytrida; Thraustochytriidae.